GCGGGCGUAGCUCAGUUGGUAGAGCGUCAGCUUCCCAAGCUGAAGGUCGCCGGUUCGAGACCGGUCGCCCGCU
RNAcentral lists this transfer RNA (73 nucleotides) under bacterium. Its description in RNAcentral is "tRNA-Gly". It matches the Rfam family "tRNA". From Rfam's summary of the family: Transfer RNA (tRNA) molecules are approximately 80 nucleotides in length. RNAcentral also lists the same sequence under 19 other names. The record is from RNAcentral.